GGGAAGCAUCCAAAAGUAGUGAUGCUACUGAUACAGUCUUUCUAAAUUAAAUCCUUGUAACUUCCUGCCUGUAGUUCUGGAGCAAAAUAUACAGGUCUCAAAUUACUGGAUAUGAAA
Molecule: small nucleolar RNA, 117 nt
Organism: Macadamia integrifolia
Lineage: Eukaryota; Viridiplantae; Streptophyta; Magnoliopsida; Proteales; Proteaceae
Product: small nucleolar RNA snoR104
Exons: 1
Source: RefSeq, a predicted model, not a curated record